This 396-nucleotide ribosomal RNA is filed under the name uncultured bacterium. Its description in RNAcentral is "partial 16S ribosomal RNA". It matches the Rfam family "Bacterial small subunit ribosomal RNA", at positions 523 to 918 of the family's 1533-position model. The record is from RNAcentral.
AUACGUAGGGGGCAAGCGUUAUCCGGAUUUACUGGGUGUAAAGGGAGCGUAGACGGCAAAGCAAGUCUGAAGUGAAAGCCCCGGGCUCAACCCGGGAAUUGCUUUGGAAACUGUUUAGCUGGAGUGCAGGAGAGGUAAGCGGAAUUCCUAGUGUAGCGGUGAAAUGCGUAGAUAUUAGGAGGAACACCGGCGGCGAAGGCGGCUUACUGGACUGUAACGGACGUUAAGGGUCGAAAGCGUGGGUAGCAAACAGGAUUAGAUACCCUGUUAGUCCACGCCGUAAACGAUGAUUACUAGGUGUUGGUUGUCAUAGACAAUCGGUGCCGCAGCAAACGCAAUAAGUAAUCCACCUGGGGAGUACGUUCGCAAGAAUGAAACUCAAAUGAAUUGACGGGG